GAUGAACGCUAGCUACAGGCUUAACACAUGCAAGUCGAGGGGAAACGAUGAGAGAGCUUGCUCUCUUAGGCGUCGACCGGCGCACGGGUGAGUAACGCGUAUCCAACCUGCCCAUUACAGGGGAAUAACCUUGCGAAAGUAAGACUAAUGCCCCAUGGUAUUCUCAGCAGACAUCUAAUGAGGAUUAAAGAUUUAUCGGUAAUGGAUGGGGAUGCGUCUGAUUAGCUUGUUGGCGGGGUAACGGCCCACCAAGGCGACGAUCAGUAGGGGUUCUGAGAGGAAGGUCCCCCACAUUGGAACUGAGACACGGUCCAAACUCCUACGGGAGGCAGCAGUGAGGAAUAUUGGUCAAUGGACGAGAGUCUGAACCAGCCAAGUAGCGUGCAGGAAGACGGCCCUAUGGGUUGUAAACUGCUUUUAUAGGGGAAUAAAGUGAUCCACGUGUGGAUUAUUGUAUGUACCCUAUGAAUAAGGACCGGCUAAUUCCGUGC
This 491-nucleotide ribosomal RNA is filed under the name uncultured Prevotella sp. RNAcentral describes it as "bacterial SSU rRNA". It matches the Rfam family "Bacterial small subunit ribosomal RNA", at positions 28 to 508 of the family's 1533-position model. Lineage: Bacteria; Pseudomonadati; Bacteroidota; Bacteroidia; Bacteroidales; Prevotellaceae. The record is from RNAcentral.